GAUGAACGCUAGCGGCAGGCCUAACUCAUGCAAGUCGAGGGGUAGCAGGAUUAAGCUUGCUUAAUUGCUGACGACCGGCGCACGGGUGCGUAACGCGUAUGCAACCUACCUUAUACUGGGGUAUAGCCCGGAGAAAUUCGGAUUAAUCCCCCAUAGUACUAAUGAAUCGCAUGGUUUAUUAGUUAAAGCAUUGCGGUAUAAGAUGGGCAUGCGUCCUAUUAGCUAGAUGGUGAGGUAACGGCUCACCAUGGCUACGAUAGGUAGGGGGCCUGAGAGGGUGGUCCCCCACACUGGGACUGAGACUCGGACCAGACUCCUCCGGGAGGCAGCAGUGAGGAAUAUUGGUCAAUGGGCGCAAGCCGGAACCAGCCAUGCCGCGUGCAGGAAGAAUGCCCUAUGGGUUGUAAACUGCUUUUAUUUGGGAAUAAACCUCUUUACGUGUAGAGAGCUGAAGGUACCAAAUGAAUAAGCACCGGCUAACUCCGUGCCAGCCGCCGCCGUAA
RNAcentral lists this ribosomal RNA (503 nucleotides) under uncultured bacterium. RNAcentral describes it as "partial 16S ribosomal RNA". It matches the Rfam family "Bacterial small subunit ribosomal RNA", at positions 28 to 523 of the family's 1533-position model. The record is from RNAcentral.